This 468-nucleotide ribosomal RNA is filed under the name uncultured bacterium. RNAcentral describes it as "partial 16S ribosomal RNA". It matches the Rfam family "Bacterial small subunit ribosomal RNA", at positions 28 to 507 of the family's 1533-position model. The record is from RNAcentral.
GACGAACGCUGGCGGCGUGCUUAACACAUGCAAGUCGAACGGAAAGGCCCUGCUUUUGUGGGGUGCUCGAGUGGCGAACGGGUGAGUAACACGUGAGUAACCUGCCCUUGACUUUGGGAUAACUUCAGGAAACUGGGGCUAAUACCGGAUAGGAGCUCCUGCUGCAUGGUGGGGGUUGGAAAGUUUCGGCGGUUGGGGAUGGACUCGCGGCUUAUCAGCUUGUUGGUGGGGUAGUGGAUUACCAAGGCUUUGACGGGUAGCCGGCCUGAGAGGGUGACCGGCCACAUUAGGACUGAGAUACGGCACAGACUCCUACGGGAGGCAGAAGUGGGGAAUAUUGCACAAUGGGCGGAAGCCUGAUGCAGCAACGCCGCGUGCGGGAUAACGGCCUUCGGGUUGUAAACCGCUUUCGCCUGUGACGAAGCGUGAGUGACGGUAAUGGGUAAAGAAGCACCGGCUAACUACGUG